AGCAAUCCAUGAGUAAAGUGGCGACCGGGUGAGUAACACGUGACUAACCUACCUUUCAGUGGGGAAUAACCUCGGGAAACCGGGGCUAAUACCGCAUAAUGUCUUCGGACCAAAGGAGCAAUUCGCUGGAUGAGGGGGUCGCGGCCGAUUAGCUAGUUGGCGGGGUAACGGCCCACCAAGGCAAUGAUCGGUAGCCGGCCUGAGAGGGCGCACGGCCACACUGGAACUGAAACACGGUCCAG
This 242-nucleotide ribosomal RNA is filed under the name uncultured bacterium. RNAcentral describes it as "partial 16S ribosomal RNA". It matches the Rfam family "Bacterial small subunit ribosomal RNA", at positions 78 to 334 of the family's 1533-position model. The record is from RNAcentral.